Long non-coding RNA from Megalobrama amblycephala (Wuchang bream), 2314 nucleotides. RefSeq lists it as uncharacterized. NCBI's taxonomy places the organism in Eukaryota, Metazoa, Chordata, Actinopteri, Cypriniformes, Xenocyprididae. The transcript is spliced from 2 exons. The record is from RefSeq and is a predicted model, not a curated record.
GAGAGGAACAACAUCAUGCUUAUUAGGACAGAAAACCUCAGUACUCAAGGUGGCGGUAAAGAUACAAUCAAAUGUCUGUGGCAUAAAAUGAGAUGCUUUUGUAAUGUCUUUCACAUUUCUGGGGUUCUUAGAGAGUCAUCAUAGUUGGGUAUUCUUCUCUGGUGGAUAAAUCUUAGUCCUAGUCUGCUAUGGAUAGGCUUGACCAGAGUCAAAUACCCCGUUGCUUUAGGAGGAAAUUCUUCUUAGCAAACUUUUAGUCACAAUGUUGACUUGUAUUGUUCCCAGGUGCAAGAAUUCAUAGAAUAAACAUAUAGUUGGAGAGAGUUAUUUUUGGUUUCCAGUGAAGUAUCCAGUGCAUUGUAGGCAGCAGCUAAAGGCUGCAAAGAAUUGUAAAUAUGGAGAAAACACACUACUGAAUAUCUGAAAAACCUCCUUGUUUGUAGUCAACAUUUAAACUUGAAUGAAUACGGACACAUUAUUUUAGGCCGAACAGAGGGGAAAAACAAAGAAACUGCCGUUUCAUCUAGAGGUCUGCGCAGGAUGGAUUUUUCAAACCCCCCUGCUCGCUCCCACAAGAUUCUGUACCGCUCCCACCAAAAAUAUGUUCUAUUUUAUCCUGGUUUCUGCCCGAAAAUUUCACAUUUUGUCCAGUUCCUGCCUGCAAAAGCCUGUAGGAAGAGGUCUACAUGGAUUUUUCAGUCCCAGUCCGGUUAGAUUCUGUCUCAUUUCAGUGUCUAUAGGCUAUUUUUUCCCAUUUCCACACUUCAUAUCUCCAGUUGCAGACAUCUGCAUGCUGUUAUUAUAAGAUAAAUAUAUUUUGCAGAAGCCCAUGAGUCAUUUCUUUCUCCCGCUUCCUGCACACAUAUCAGAAUCUUCUCUCCCGCAUCUGCACUCAGCAAUUCAAAAGUUGUCCUGCGCCACACUCUGUUGUGUCGGGUCCCACAGUCUUGCCACGGGAUUGCUGACCUCUAGUUUUGUCAGUUAAUUUGGAAGAAUGGGGAGCACCUUCUGUCCAACCCCAUGAAGCGAAAUGCUGUCCCGUACAGGUAAGAGAGCUGUUGCCAUAGUGUUCCAUUUACACCAUAAUGCUGUUUAAAGAGUAGACAAAGUACGAUACAAUUUUCAGUGAUAAACCUGCACUUACAAUAACUGUUUUAUUAAUAACCCUCUGUGGAUCCGACUGUUCGUGGACGGGGAUACAAACAUGCGGAAGUACAAUCUGCUGUCAAAAGUCUGUAGAAUGACGCAUUUUGCCUCAUUCAGUGGACUUUUGCUGACAAAUAAAAUGGAAUUUUAAACUGGUCCAGGUAACACUGAGAAAGAGUAAACAUUGACAAUGUAACUUUGGCUGAUUGAGCAUGUUGAAUCACCAUUGGGCAGCUGGUGAGACAGAUCACUCUGAUUGGCUUAGCUCAGCUAACCAGUGCACGAGAAGAAAAAUGAAAGUAAUGAAAGCGAGCAAAGUCAAGAGGGCAAACACAGAAGGCUCUUCCAAUUUUACAUCUUUAUCUUACCUGAGCAUCUCAAUAUGCAAAUAUGUUUCUAACGACAUGUCUGUCUAGAAUGAAGAGGGUGAAGACCAACUGAUCAGCAUGAUUCAUAAUCAAAAUGGCGCAGAACGUACAUGCUAGUUGCCAGUUGAAUACAGUAUUUGCGGUGUGUUCAAGUGCAACUUUUUGGCCCAGAAGCUGAUGUGAAGCUAGUUCUUUGAUGUCUUAUUUGUGAAGAUCUCACCUCCUUCAUAAUCUUAAUGGCCUCCACUCUGUGCUGAGGUGGUGGGUAGAGCAGAAUACGGUGGUACAGGGACUGCAAAACAGGCUUCAUGGACUCGAUACAGCCCACCAGACGGACUAACUCUGCUGCAACGUAGCAGAUGGUGCGAACUACUGGCCCAAUCAUGCCGGGAGCACUCGAUGAGCAGCCAGAACCCCGGCCUUGAUCCAAGACCGCUGUCCCUGGUGCCCCGUCUGAGUCCUGAGAUUGCCCUCCAUGGGCAGAGGUGAUGGUUUUAUCACUCGCUGGGUUUCCCAUAAUCACCACCAGAGUUGGACACAGCUGCUUCCUGUGUAUAGACAGUACACACUUAUGAUGUAUAAUUACACCAUGUUCCUCUCAGAAUCAUAAUAAUCACUUUGUAAGACCAAAGUAACACAAAUUAAGAUUAUACGUUUACAAGAAAUAGAUGUGUUUAUUGGAUAUUGUAUAAUAGUGAUGCCAUUUUUCUGGACAUACCCUGCUAAUACCUGCUAAGUUCCCAUUGAAGUAUGGUGGAGAAUACUGUUAAAGUCUGAUUAAAGUCACCAUGAAAUCAAAA